Molecule: ribosomal RNA, 1425 nt
Filed under: Triticum aestivum (bread wheat)
Lineage: Eukaryota; Viridiplantae; Streptophyta; Magnoliopsida; Poales; Poaceae
Description: partial small subunit ribosomal RNA
Source: RNAcentral
AUGCCGUCACGGUCGCCGUCCAUGGUGCGCGUCGUGUCGUCGUCCACGGUGAAGCCGCCGCCGCGCCCGCGCGAGCGCAUCCCGCUCACCUCCUGGGACGCCUCCAUGCUCUCCUCCAACUACAUCCAGAAGGGCCUCCUCUUCCACAGGCCCACCUCAUGCUCCCCGGUCAACGCCGCCGACCACCUCGCCGCCGCGCUCGGCGACGCGCUCGUCCACUACUACCCCAUCGCCGGCCGCUUCGCCACGGAGCAGCACAGGGACGACCGCACCGGCGCCGUCGUCGGAUGCUCCGUCCACGUCGACUGCGACGGCCAGGGCGUGGAGGUCGUGCACGCCGUGGCCGACGGGGUGACCAUGGCGGACGUCAUCCCGCCCGACGCCGACGUGCCGCGCGGCGUGUUGGCGCAGUUCUUCCGGCUCACCGACGCCGUCAACUACGGCGGCCAGGAGCAGCCGCUGUUCGCCGUCCAGGUCACCGACCUCGCCGACGGCGUCUUCGUCGGCUUCGCCUACAACCACGCGCUCUCCGACGGCACCGCCUUCUGGGACUUCGUCAACUACUGGGCCGCCCUCGCGCGCGCCAGGCUCGGCCUCGCCCCCGCGCCACCGGUGGCGAAGCCCUCGUUCCAGCGCUGGUCGCCCGACGGCGGUGCGGCGGGGCCGGCCGUGCUGCCGUGCGCCGACGUAUCGGAGCUCAUCGAGCGGGCGCCCCCGCUGCAGCUGCGCGAGCGGAUGCUGCACUUCUCGGCCGACUCGCUGGCGGCGCUCAAGGAGCGCGCGCGGGAGGAGCUCCUGGCCGCCGGCGACACGGCGGGCGCGGCCGCACUAACCAAGUUCCAGGCGCUCUCCUCGCUCCUCUGGCGCUGCAUCACCCGCGCGCGGCGGCUGGCACCGGAGCAGGAGACGACGUGCCGCGCCGCCAUCAACAACCGCGCGCGCCUCCGGCCGCAGCUCCCGCAGGACUACUUCGGCAACACCAUCUACGCCAUCGGGACCGAGGCAACGCGCGCCGCGGACGUUCUCAACCGCGGGCACGGGUGGGCGGCGGCGGCCGUGGGGCGGGCCGUGGCGGCGCACACGGACGCGUCCAUCAGGGCGCGCGUGGCGGCGUGGACCGCCAGGCCCAUGGUGUACACGCACCGCUUCUUCGACCCCACGGGCACCAUGAUGGGCAGCUCGCCGCGGUUCGACAUGUACGGCUGCGACUUCGGGUGGGGCAGCCCCGUGGCGGCGCGCAGCGGCGUGGCCAACAAGUUCGACGGCAAGACGUCGCUCUACCCCGGCCGCGAGGGCGGCGGCAGCAUCGACGCCGAGCUCACGCUGUCGCCCGAGAACAUGGCGGCCCUCGAAAAGGACGACGAGUUCUGGGCCGCCGUCACCCCAGACGCGCCCGUGCCGGCGCCGGAGAAGAAGGCCACUUGA